UUACUUGGAAUAACACACUUACUGGUAUAAAGGAGGGUAAUGUUGUUAAACUCUCCAUGUUGGUGUCUCGUCUCUAUUUACAUGAACACUAAUGGUGCAGGAACAAACACUGGCUGUUUGAGUCAUGUCAAGGUUGGAAUCGUGACAAAUUCUCUCAUGGUUCACCUAAAUUACCAGCAGUACUGGCUAAGAAAGCUUAGCCACCAGGCUGUAAACAAGGCAGUAUUUUAGAAUGAUAGUAGCCGUGGCAUCAUCGACAGGUUUCACGAUGUAACUGUGCCUGCUCUGGCCUGGCGUUCCUCUUUGUAUCCAGAGAGCUUUCCCAGUCGCUCUCCCACAGCCGAGGCUUGAUUGUUGGACUGCAGAUCCCCAAAGACCUCCACUGAGGGUCAGGAAUCUAGUGCUCUCUGUGUCAAAAAAUUCUGUUCCAUAUGGAAAAUGUGACAUGUACAGUAGCUGCAAUGCUCUUGUUAUAUAAUUGGAUUAAAUUGUUUAAAGAAUAUGCAUGCUUGAAGAAUAAAUUGACUGUUAAAAAUUGGCGGUUACUGGGUGGAAAAGGCAUUUAGUGUGAGAGCCUGAAAUACUUUCAGCACAAAUUUGCAUUUCACAUUGCUGAUUUAUUUUCAUCAGUUGUAAGUUGCAGCCUGUUUACAGUAGAUCCACUAAAUAUUUGAGCGUUUUCAUAGUUACAUUUAAACUAAAUAUUUA
This is a long non-coding RNA of Cyprinus carpio (common carp), 708 nucleotides long. RefSeq lists it as uncharacterized. The record is from RefSeq and is a predicted model, not a curated record. NCBI's taxonomy places the organism in Eukaryota, Metazoa, Chordata, Actinopteri, Cypriniformes, Cyprinidae. The transcript is spliced from 3 exons.